UCAAGGUUGCCCACUGUGCAGCUUGUAGU
RNAcentral lists this small RNA (29 nucleotides) under Bombyx mori (domestic silkworm). Its description in RNAcentral is "ovarian small RNA-24755". The record is from RNAcentral. Lineage: Eukaryota; Metazoa; Arthropoda; Insecta; Lepidoptera; Bombycidae.